GGUUAAGCGACUAAGCGUACACGGUGGAUGCCCGGCAGUCAGAGGCGAUGAAGGACGUGCUAAUCUGCGAAAAGCGUCGGUAAGGUGAUAUGAACCGUUAUAACCGGCGAUGUCCGAAUGGGGAAACCCAGUGCAAUUCGUUGCACUAUCGUUAACUGAAUACAUAGGUUAACGAGGCGAACCGGGGAACUGAAACAUCUAAGUACCCCGAGGAAAAGAAAUCAACCGAGAUUCCCCAGUAGCGGCGAGCGAACGGGGAGCAGCCCAGAGUCUGAAUCAGCUUGUGUGUUAGUGGAACGGUCUGGAAAGUCCGACGGUACAGGGUGAUAGUCCCGUACACCAAAAUGCACAGGCUGUGAACUCGAAGAGUAGGGCGGGACACGUGGUAUCCUGUCUGAAUAUGGGGGACCAUCCUCCAAGGCUAAAUACUCCUGACUGACCGAUAGUGAACCAGUACCGUGAGGGAAAGGCGAAAAGAACCCCGGCGAGGGGAGUGAAAAAGAACCUGAAACCGUGUACGUACAAGCAGUGGGAGCACCUUCGGGUGUGACUGCGUACCUUUGUAUAAUGGGUCAGCGACUUAUAUUCUGUAGCAAGGUUAACCGUAUAGGGGGAGCCGCAGGGAAACCGAGUCUUAACUGGGCGUUAAGUUGCAGGGUAUAGACCCGAAACCCGGUGAUCUAGCCAUGGGCAGGUUGAAGGUUGGGUAACACUAACUGGAGGACCGAACCGACUAAUGUUGAAAAAUUAGCGGAUGACUUGUGGCUGGGGUGAAAGGCCAAUCAAACCGGGAGAUAGCUGGUUCUCCCCGAAAGCUAUUUAGGUAGCGCCUCGUGAACUCAUCUUCGGGGUAGAGCACUGUUUCGGCUAGGGGUCAUCCCGACUUACCAACCCGAUGCAAACUACGAAUACCGAAGAAUGUUAUCACGGGAGACACACGGCGGGUGCUAACGUCCGUCGUGAAGAGGAAACAACCCAGACCGCCAGCUAAGGUCCCAAAGUCAUGGUUAAGUGGGAAACGAUGUGGGAAGGCACAGACAGCCGGGAUGUUGGCUUAGAAGCAGCCAUCAUUUAAAGAAAGCGUAAUAGCUCACUGGUCGAGUCGGCCUGCGCGGAAGAUGUAACGGGGCUAAACCAUGCACCGAAGCUGCGGCAGCGACACUAUGUGUUGUUGGGUAGGGAGCGUUCUGUAAGCCUGCGAAGGUGUGCUGUGAGGCAUGCUGGAGGUAUCAGAAGUGCGAAUGCUGACAUAAGUAACGAUAAAGCGGGUGAAAAGCCCGCUCGCCGGAAGACCAAGGGUUCCUGUCCAACGUUAAUCGGGGCAGGGUGAGUCGACCCCUAAGGCGAGGCCGAAAGGCGUAGUCGAUGGGAAACAGGUUAAUAUUCCUGUACUUGGUGUUACUGCGAAGGGGGGGGACGGAGAAGGCUAUGUUAGCCGGGCGACGGUUGUCCCGGUUUAAGCAUGUAGGCUGAUUGUCCGAGGCAAAUCCGGAUAAUCAAGGCUGAGGUGUGAUGACGAGGCACUACGGUGCUGAAGUAACAAAUGCCCUGCUUCCGAGGAAAAGCCUCUAAGCAUCAGGUAACAUCAAAUCGUACCCCAAACCGACACAGGUGGUCAGGUAGAGAAUACCAAGGCGCUUGAGAGAACUCGGGUGAAGGAACUAGGCAAAAUGGUGCCGUAACUUCGGGAGAAGGCACGCUGGUGUGUAGGUGAAGUCCCUGCGGAUGGAGCUGAGACCAGUCGAAGAUACCAGCUGGCUGCAACUGUUUAUUAAAAACACAGCACUGUGCAAACACGAAAGUGGACGUAUACGGUGUGACGCCUGCCCGGUGCCGGAAGGUUAAUUGAUGGGGUUAUCCGUAAGGAGAAGCUCUUGAUCGAAGCCCCGGUAAACGGCGGCCGUAACUAUAACGGUCCUAAGGUAGCGAAAUUCCUUGUCGGGUAAGUUCCGACCUGCACGAAUGGCGUAAUGAUGGCCGGGCUGUCUCCACCCGAGACUCAGUGAAAUUGAACUCGCUGUGAAGAUGCAGUGUACCCGCGGCAAGACGGAAAGACCCCGUGAACCUUUACUAUAGCUUGACACUGAACAUUGAGCCUUGAUGUGUAGGAUAGGUGGGAGGCUUUGAAGCGUGGACGCCAGUCUGCGUGGAGCCAACCUUGAAAUACCACCCUUUAAUGUUUGAUGUUCUAACGUUGGCCCCUGACCGGGGUUGCGGACAGUGUCUGGUGGGUAGUUUGACUGGGGCGGUCUCCUCCCAAAGCGUAACGGAGGAGCACGAAGGUUAGCUAAUCCCCGGUCGGACAUCAGGAGGUUAGUGCAAUGGCAUAAGCUAGCUUGACUGCGAGCGUGACGGCGCGAGCAGGUGCGAAAGCAGGUCAUAGUGAUCCGGUGGUUCUGAAUGGAAGGGCCAUCGCUCAACGGAUAAAAGGUACUCCGGGGAUAACAGGCUGAUACCGCCCAAGAGUUCAUAUCGACGGCGGUGUUUGGCACCUCGAUGUCGGCUCAUCACAUCCUGGGGCUGAAGUAGGUCCCAAGGGUAUGGCUGUUCGCCAUUUAAAGUGGUACGCGAGCUGGGUUUAGAACGUCGUGAGACAGUUCGGUCCCUAUCUGCCGUGGGCGCUGGAGAAUUGAGGGGGCUGCUCCUAGUACGAGAGGACCGGAGUGGACGCAUCACUGGUGUUCGGGUUGUCAUGCCAAUGGCACUGCCCGGUAGCUAAAUGCGGAAGAGAUAAGUGCUGAAAGCAUCUAAGCACGAAACUUGCCCCGAGAUGAGUUCUCCCUGAGACUUUAAGUCUCCUGAAGGAACGUUAAAGACGAUGACGUUGAUAGGCCGGGUGUGUAAGCGCAGCGAUGCGUUGAGCUAACCGGUACUAAUGAACCGUGAGGCUUAACCUU
RNAcentral lists this ribosomal RNA (2897 nucleotides) under Klebsiella pneumoniae. RNAcentral describes it as "23S ribosomal RNA". It matches the Rfam family "Bacterial large subunit ribosomal RNA". Lineage: Bacteria; Pseudomonadati; Pseudomonadota; Gammaproteobacteria; Enterobacterales; Enterobacteriaceae. The record is from RNAcentral.